CCCUUAGAUGUUCUGGGUGGCCCGCGCACUACACUGGCACUCUCAAUCAGAGCCUGGAUCUAACACUUUGGGGUAUUCUAUGAAGUGGUGUCGUGACUGGGAUUAACCCUUGCAAUUAUUGGUUACGAACGAGGAAUUCCUUGUAAUCGCGGUUUAUCAGCCCGCGUUGAAUGCGUCCCUGCCCUUUGUACACACCGCCCGUCGCUCCUACCGAUGGAUCGUCCGGUGAAGCUCAUGGAGGGGCGGUUGUCUCAGCUGCCGUCGAAGUGAAAUGGACCUCACGAUCUAGAGGAAGGAGAAGUCGUAACA
Molecule: ribosomal RNA, 309 nt
Filed under: uncultured eukaryote
Lineage: Eukaryota
Description: partial 18S ribosomal RNA
Rfam family: Eukaryotic small subunit ribosomal RNA
Source: RNAcentral